RNAcentral lists this ribosomal RNA (231 nucleotides) under Triticum aestivum (bread wheat). Its description in RNAcentral is "partial small subunit ribosomal RNA". The record is from RNAcentral. Lineage: Eukaryota; Viridiplantae; Streptophyta; Magnoliopsida; Poales; Poaceae.
AUGGGUGCAAGAAAUGCUAUCAUGUGCUUGGUGUUGAUUCUUGUAUUGUUCGCGGAUCAUGGCUCCGCAGGAUGCUGGGUGAAUAUCAAUGGCGGCCCACUCUGCAUAGGCUUUCUGUGCAAAGCGACUUGCUUGAUUGCGGAGAAGAUGUUUAAUUCCGUUCUCAAGGAGCACAGGUGCGAGGGGACACCGCUCAAUAGCGAAUGCAUGUGCUAUCUCUGCGACAAAUAG